AACAGAACACGCGCCGAUUUGAGCCACCAGCUUGCGGGCGCGAAAUAAAUGCAGCUAAAGCGUGGGGAAGGGCGGCAG
RNAcentral lists this non-coding RNA (78 nucleotides) under Allobosea sp. Lineage: Bacteria; Pseudomonadati; Pseudomonadota; Alphaproteobacteria; Hyphomicrobiales; Alloboseaceae. The record is from RNAcentral.